AAUGAAGCUUUAAAUUUGUAUGUCUGUGAGUUGCUUAGAUACUAACGUAUAAAGAUAGAUAUCACUAGAGUUGCCCUUUUAGUGUUGGCUUAUAGCAAUAUUUGUUGUUCAAAUGCACUUGUAAACUUGUCCUUAGUUGCUAAUAAUCUGCUCGUUGAUACUAGUUUGCAUAAUGUGGUCACUGCCACAUAGAACUUAUUCACUGAUUUAGUUGUAUUCUUCCAUUUCAGCUCUCUUUUGAGUUAUUUGUAUUGUAUAAGUAGUCUUUCAUUAUCAUUAAAUAGGCCUUAUCUACAUACACAUCCUCCUUGCCUUAUGUAGUUGUGAUUAGUAAUCAAUUUGUUUAGUUCACUAUUGAUCUUGUUUCAUCUCUUUAGUAGAUAUUAUGUAUAUUUUGUUUAGUUAGGAAACUUUCUCUAAUGGCUUGUCCCAUUCUUAAUUAGUUUCCACAAUUAGCUCUCAUUUUUUAAUACAAUAUCACCAUCCUUUUGUCUAGAAAUAUAAUGUUAUUAAUUAGGUUCUCAUCUCUUAAAAUUUUUUAUGUGUCUACCUUCGUCUAGAGUUAAUUACUUCAUCAUAUAUUUGAUGGAAGUUUUACCUUUUUUUUUUUUUUUUUUUAAUUCUUCUCCUCCUCCUUUGGNNNNNNNNNNNNNNNNNNNNNNNNNNNNNAACCCCUUCCGAGUCCAUGGUGGACUUCUCCUCCUAGCAUUCUCGAGUUGAGCCAUAAAGGCUUAAUAAUUUUUUUUCUCAUCAUUCGAGUCAGCCGGGCACAUAAAACAGAAGCACAGGGCUGGAAACCCAGAGACAAGCCUCCAAAAGUCCUAAGAUGGACUAUAUACAUCCAUUAUACAUUGUAUACAUUCAGUAUACGUCAAUAUACAGGUCAAAAAACGCAGGGAUACAGGGCUGAUGCGAAAUACAUG
This 923-nucleotide long non-coding RNA is filed under the name Solanum tuberosum (potato). Its description in RNAcentral is "long non-coding RNA (STUB_LNC010934)". The record is from RNAcentral. Lineage: Eukaryota; Viridiplantae; Streptophyta; Magnoliopsida; Solanales; Solanaceae.